UACGUAGGAUCCGAGCGUUGUCCGGAUUUACUGGGCGUAAAGGGUGCGUAGGAGGUCAGGUAAGUCAGUGGUGAAAUCCCCGAGCUUAACUUGGGAACUGCCGUUGAUACUAUCUGUCUUGAAUAUCGUGGAGGUGAGCGGAAUAUGUCAUGUAGCGGUGAAAUGCUUAGAUAUGACAUAGAAUACCAAUUGCGAAGGCAGCUCACUAAGCAGAUAUUGACGCUGAGGCACGAAAGCGUGGGGAUCAAACAGG
This 253-nucleotide ribosomal RNA is filed under the name uncultured bacterium. RNAcentral's name for it is "partial 16S ribosomal RNA". It matches the Rfam family "Bacterial small subunit ribosomal RNA", at positions 524 to 776 of the family's 1533-position model. The record is from RNAcentral.